AUUCCAGCUCCAAUAGCGUAUAUUAAAGUUGUUGCAGUUAAAAAGCUCGUAGUUGGAUUUCUGGUGGGAGCGAUCGGUCUGGCGCUUAGCGCGAGUACUUGCAUCGUCUCCGGCCAUCCUUGGGGAGAGUUUGUCUGGCAUUAAGUUGUCGGGCAGAGGAUCCUCAUCGUUUACUGUGAAAAAAUUAGAGUGUUCAAAGCAGGCUUAUGCCGUUGAAUAUAUUAGCAUGGAAUAAUAAGAUAGGACUUUGGUGGUCUAUUUUGUUGGUUUGCACACCAGAGUAAUGAUUAAUAGGGACAGUUGGGGGUAUUCAUAUUUCAGCGUCAGAGGUGAAAUUCUUAGAUCGCUGAAAGAUGAGCUUAGGCGAAAGCAUUUACCAAGGAUGUUUUCAUCG
This 394-nucleotide ribosomal RNA is filed under the name Arcocellulus sp. Its description in RNAcentral is "partial small subunit ribosomal RNA". It matches the Rfam family "Eukaryotic small subunit ribosomal RNA", at positions 582 to 975 of the family's 1831-position model. The record is from RNAcentral. Lineage: Eukaryota; Bacillariophyta; Thalassiosirophyceae; Cymatosirales; Cymatosiraceae.